CCGCCGCAGGGUGGGGAGGUUUUUGGGGGGACUGCCCCUGCUGACGGGGUGUCUGUGCCACUUCCCAGGGGUGACAGCACCAGCGGUGCCCCCCCGCAGCCCCGCCAAAACGCAAGUGUUGGGGACACGCGGCACUGCCGUGCCAGGGACCACCCACCCUGCCGGCAGCACCCGGCCGCCCGCCUGUCCCCCCGCCACAGGGAUGGUGACCAAGAGACCCUUUGCAGAAGCGGGUGCCAUGUCCCCACCGGGGUCUGGCAUGUGUCCUGGCAGUUGCAGCGGGGUGAGCCUGCCCAAGAAGAGGUGCCCUGGAAUGAGCGCCCCAUCCCCGCGGGAGGCCCCCAGUGAGGCCCAAGACCCGUGGGCUGAAGUUGACCGGGUCCGAGCCGUCCUGGUGGAGGAGCUGGAGCGGCUGUGCCGGGACCUGGGCUCGGUGCGCCGGGAAGUGCGGGGCGUGCGGAGCCGCCUAGAGCGGCUAGAGCGGGGCCAGGCGCGGAAGAUGGCCGCCCUCAUCCACAGCCACCAGCGCCUCCACCACGCCAUCCGGUGCCUGGAGGGACGGUGCUGGGCGCUGGAGACCCGCUCCCGGCCCAACAGCCUGCGGCUGCCGCAGCUACCCGAGGGGGAGGAGGGUGCCGAUGCUGUCGGCUUCCUGCAGACCAUGCUGCCGGCAGCAAUGGGCCUGCUGCCGGCCCCGGGUCCCCUGCAGACCGAGAGCGCCCGCCGGCUGUGCGGCCCUGCCACCCCGGCACGGCCACUGCUCUUCAGCCUGCUCCGCUUCACCGACAAGCUGGCACUGCUGCGGGCAGCCCACCGGUACCCUGAGCCCCACAGCUGGGCCGGCACCCGCCUCGCCGUCGUCCCCACCGCCUGUCCCCCCUGUUGCCAACACCCCCUCGCUGCUGGCCGAUGGGCCUGGAGGGCAGCCGAGCCACGCUGCAGCACCCGCUGCCCCGCUGCCGGCCACGGCCGGGGCUCCGUGGAGCCAUGACUGAGCCCAGCCCAGGGGAGCUGGAUCCUUCUCCCUGCUGCGGCCAGUCCCAGCGCUGUGUUGGCUCCUGCGUGAUGCUAAGCCCUUGUGACUUCCCGCACCUUGGCAUCCCCAUGGUAGCCAUCCCGGAGCCUGGGUGGAGAGGCUGCCUGUGGCAGGAUCCGGCCCCGGCCGAGGAGGGGGUGGCCAAGACAUCUUGCCAGCCACGCCGGAGGGGCCAGCCCUGGUCCUGGCUGCUCCGCAGAGCCCAGCCUUCCUGGGGUGACAUCUCUUGUACCCCACACUCACUGCUGUGAGGCUUGUCCUCCAACCCCCUGCCCCCCCAAGCCCCUGUGGGUGUCUGUGGUGUCUGUCCGUCCCCCCGCA
Molecule: long non-coding RNA, 1357 nt
Filed under: Accipiter nisus (Eurasian sparrowhawk)
Lineage: Eukaryota; Metazoa; Chordata; Aves; Accipitriformes; Accipitridae
Description: lncRNA (ENSANIG00000007357.1)
Source: RNAcentral